GGGCCCGCACAAGCGGAGGAGCAUGUGGUUUAAUUCGAUGAUACGCGAGGAACCUUACCAGGGCUUAAAUGGGAGACGACAGUUUGGGAAACCAGAUUUUCUUCGGACGUCUUUCAAGGUGCUGCAUGGUUGUCGUCAGCUCGUGCCGUGAGGUGUCAGGUUAAGUCCUAUAACGAGCGCAACCCCUAUUGUUAGUUGCCAGCGGGUCAUGCCGGGAACUCUAACAAGACUGCCGGUGCAAACCGUGAGGAAGGUGGGGAUGACGUCAAAUCAUCACGGCCCUUACGUCCUGGGCUACACACGUGCUACAAUGGACGGUACAGAGAGCAGCCACUGCGCAAGCAGGAGCGAAUCUUCAAAGCCGUUCUCAGUUCGGAUCGGAGUCUGCAACUCGACUCCGUGAAGCUGGAUUCGCUAGUAAUCGCAUAUCAGCCAUGAUGCGGUGAAUACGUUCCCGGGCCUU
This 463-nucleotide ribosomal RNA is filed under the name uncultured bacterium. Its description in RNAcentral is "bacterial SSU rRNA". It matches the Rfam family "Bacterial small subunit ribosomal RNA", at positions 917 to 1382 of the family's 1533-position model. The record is from RNAcentral.